Long non-coding RNA from Ictalurus punctatus (channel catfish), 3128 nucleotides. NCBI's taxonomy places the organism in Eukaryota, Metazoa, Chordata, Actinopteri, Siluriformes, Ictaluridae. The record is from Ensembl.
AUUGCAUUGAUAACAGUUCAUGUGUGCGAAACCUUGACACACCUAGUUGUCAUUACAUGGAAGAAAAAUCGGUUUAAAAAUCACAGCUCUUUUUUUAGCUCUGCAGUGACAAACUGCAUACGUUACGACUCUAUCCGUCGCCUCUCAUAAGCAGGACAUGUGAUCUGUAGGAUUCGCCAUCUAGAAGUAGGCCAAGGUGUUCUAUUACACUGAAGGCACUUCAGUGCUGCUCAUGCAAAAGGCUUCAUCAGUUCUACAAGGUGGCCUGCAGAACAACAAUCACAUUGACUUAUCACACACCUACAAAGACCUUUAGAUACAUUUGCUCUGGUGGCUCAGUGGUUAAAGGCUCUGGGUUACUGAUCAGAAGGCCAGGAGUUCAAACCCCAGUACUUCCAAGCUUCCACUGUUGGGCCCUUCAACAAGGCCCUUGACUCUCAGUUGUAUAAAUAAGAUGCAUGUAAGUAGCUCUGGAUAAUGGCGUCUGCUAGGGCUGCACAAUUAAUCGAACAUCCAUCUCCGUUACGAUUUUGACGGCCCACGAUUACAUGAGCAUGAUGGACUGCGAUACUGACAUUUAAAGUUCAUCCUCCGCUGUAGAUCACAUCAAGCGCUUCAUAAACUUACAGCCAAUCACCGUAGAGCGGCGCAGGGAAGGCGCAGUUUGAAAACUCCGGGCUGGCACUUCCGUGGAAACAGACCAAAACGCAGACUUUUGAAAAGAAGGUGUGGCUUCGCCCACACUCGCCCCCCGAUCGGGUCUUCUGGAACAUUGCGUAUCUUUCCUUGAUUCGUCAAGCCCCUACCGUAGGACUAUCGCGCCACCUCGAUCGUAUACACAACACCACGGAGACUGAACCGCAAGCUUUGCUGGCUUUGUCGUCGUUCUUAGCAGAUAAAUUCUGUAUUUUAUAAUACUGCAGCUGCUACAUGCGCAAGAGGCGAGCUACGAUUAGAACGAUCGCCAACAAAUCUCAUUUCGAGCGGCGUAAGCCCUACACGGAACACCGGUUCGGACCAACAACCGACUUCCUGUUUACACUCGUAUGCGCGUGCCCAGUGUGCACGAAUGGUCACGUGACGUGCGUAUUCGGUCGUGUAGCGUGGACGUUAGCAGACAGGGUUAGGCUACAAAGUGGCAAUAAAUACACACGUAACAUUCGAAUUUAAGAGGAAUUGUGGGGACUUUAAAUUGUAGUGUACAAAGUUAUGCUUUAAUAACGUACUUCGGGCAUUAUUAAUUAUUCGACAGAUUGCAAACACGCGCUCACAGAUGCCCACACUUGCACUAGCAGUGUUGCUGUGAUCGACAGGGGAGAUUGAAGACGCCACCCCUUCCGGCCACAAACGAGUGUAGCAUCAUCGGGAUUUGAAUAUUGAAUUUCUGGUGGAAUUAGCAGAGUUUUUCGAACUGGCAAAAUUGCAAUCGCACAAAAUUGUUUUGUCUCGUCUUUCGCAGUGAUGUUUGUUGGUAAAUUAGACCUUUUAUCUGUACUCGUGUUGGUCGCACGUGACUCGAACACGGCAUCGACUCAAUGCGCGUGGUGAUGACGUCAUACGACCCACCUGGACCCAAAUCCGAGGAAAAUCUGCGGUAAUUUAUAAAAAUAAAAAAAAAUGCGAGCUCCUUCGAAUAUUAGGGCGUUUGUUUGAUUUCGCAUUCAUUUCUGUGAUCGCAAAAUCGUGGGAUCCUCUAGGGACUGUACAGGAUGUUUUUGUGAAGAUAUUCUGUAGCAUUAUGGUUUCCCAUGAGAAUGGGAAGCAUGACAAGCUUGACAAUUCCCCAUUGCACAAAGUAAGGUCCAUAAAGACAUGGUUUUGCUGAUGUUGGUGUGGAACUCGAGUGACCUGCGAAAGAGCCCUGACCUCAAGCCUACUGAACAAAUUUGAGAAUAAAUUUGAACAAAUUUGAGAUGAACUGGAAGGCCUGCGAGCCAGGCGUUCUUGUCCAUCGUGUCCAGUGCACGACCUAACUCUUGUGGCUGAAUGGGCAAACCCACAACCGUGUCCUAAAAUCUAGGGGAAAGACUUCCCAGAAGAGGUGGAGGUUAUUAUAGCAGCAAAUGCUUAUUAAAUCCAUCUGGUCCGGUGUCCACAUACUUGUGUAGUAGUGUAUGUAUGGAGAACCUGAUAGGGGAACGUAAUGCAAACCAGUUCAUUAACUCACCAAUAUCACAGUUACUUAAACAACGCUCAAUCAAUGUUAAUUGUCCCAUCACCAACAUCAAUAGUGGAUUGUCUCGAUGACUCAACAUAAAUGGUAAAUGAGCUACACUUACAUAGCGCUUUUAUCCAAAGUGCUUCACACUGGCUCUCAUUCACACACACACACACACACACACACUCAGACACCAGUGGUAGCAGAGCGGCCAUGCAAGGCGCUAACUUGCCAUCGGGAGCAACUCGGGGUUCAGUGUCUCGCCCAAGGUGACUUCGGCAUGUGGAGUCAUGUGGGUCGGGAAUCGAACCGCCAACCCUACGAUUAGUGGACAACCCGCUCUACCACCUGAACCACAGCCGCUCCACACAAGCCAAAGCUAAGAAAAAGCAACGCUGGUAAAGUAAUCUCAUAGCAUACAUAGGCCGUUACCCACUGCAGCUGUUCCAGAUAACUACAAAGGGUGGGAUGUUCCUAGAACACACUCCUCUCAGUUCCAAGCAUGGACAUCACACCCAUACCAGAAUAGUGGGCAGAAAAGAUACAUGUUCCUAUCAGCUAUCACACUAUAUUACAUAAAUAGAUUCAGAGAAAACCUCAGCACACCCGUGUGCACAUUUAGAUCCUGCCCGGACCCCCAGAUAUGAAAAGCCAAUAGGAGCCCUGCACAGAUCCCACGCUACAGCUACGCUUCAUAAAUUAAUCUCUGACUAGAGAGACAUAGCAACAGGUGUCUGCUCAGCCUCGUCUGCUCAGCCUUGGGUAUUACUCACACGCUGAGCUAGAAAGAUCAAAAUGAUCGCAUAAGCGUUCCAGCUACUUUGCUAUUGGCAGGAUUGAGCGACCUCUGUGACCCCUGAACUAGACCACUCUACAGCUGCAGCUAAAUUUCCACUGCUAGUCAUUCCUAAAGGCAGGCAUUAUAUAUAUAUAUAUAUAUAUAUAUAGCAAUAGUAUUGGGACACCAUGG